Molecule: ribosomal RNA, 481 nt
Filed under: uncultured bacterium
Lineage: Bacteria
Description: partial 16S ribosomal RNA
Rfam family: Bacterial small subunit ribosomal RNA
Source: RNAcentral
GAUGAACGCUGGCGGCGUGCUUAACACAUGCAAGUCGAACGAAGCACUUUAUUUGAUUUCCUUCGGGACUGAUUAUUUUGUGACUGAGUGGCGGACGGGUGAGUAACGCGUGGGUAACCUGCCUUGUACAGGGGGAUAACAGUUGGAAACGGCUGCUAAUACCGCAUAAGCGCCCAGCAUCGCAUGAUGCAGUGUGAAAAACUCCGGUGGUAUAAGAUGGACCCGCGUUGGAUUAGCUAGUUGGUGAGGUAACGGCCCACCAAGGCGACGAUCCAUAGCCGACCUGAGAGGGUGACCGGCCACAUUGGGACUGAGACACGGCCCAAACUCCUACGGGAGGCAGCAGUGGGGAAUAUUGCACAAUGGGCGAAAGCCUGAUGCAGCGACGCCGCGUGAGCGAAGAAGUAUUUCGGUAUGUAAAGCUCUAUAAGCAGGGAAGAUAAUGACGGUACCUGACUAAGAAGCACCGGCUAAAUACGUG